GGAAAGAGAAGGAAAUCCAGUUUCCUGUGCAAAGUGCAAUAACAGCACAGGGAAUUACGACGCAAACGGUUCGGAUUAUGAAGCCAGGAGCUUGUUUUUUGUCCAGAGAGUGUCAGGCUGUCACAGUUCACAUCCAGAACGUAGCCUACUUAAAGGAGAGCUAUAGCUGGUGACUCUGAGCCAAAGGGUCCGUUCUUCAGGCUGCGUGGUCGCUCUGUCUGAAAAGAGUGGGGGAAUAAGGGCCAUCCCCGAAGGCUAGGGGGGGCUGGGGGUGGCCAAAAUAUGGACCAACCCCGGUGAGGUCAAAGGCCUCGGACCACGACAAUGUAACUGCGGUGAUGUCAUGAAAAAAAAAAUCGCAAAUGCACCCUCCUAUCCAUGCACAAUCUCCAUCCAUUACACAGCGCGCGCUGGAAUAAGUCCGCCUCGCAGCGAGCAGGCUGCACGCCUUCUCUCACACAGGGAUGAAAAUGGAUGGCCGAGAAACCAUAUGCUUUUUUUUUUUUCUCACACAGAAUGAGAGCGAUUCAACAGCUUUAACUGGAAGACGCGGCCAAUAACGGCACCUAUUAAACAAUAAAAAAAACCCGAAGCAACUUAAUGAGAAGAACAUCCCGGAGCUGCCUGAGCGCCAGCAUCCUCCGUCUAUUCUCUGCAGGUUAUAUUUGCUCCACGCGAUAACACGCAGCUCGCGCUGCUUUUUGCUCCUCACACGCGAAGGCGCCGCUGUAUAUGUCUUAAAUUGAUCUCACGUUCUCGAUUUUGCGUCGAAGUCCUCCCUAUAGCCUCGUGUGUGUAUUUUUUUUAUGUCACCGUCGCAUCCGAAGCGUAGACUACAAUGGUAUUCGGGCAGGCUGGCGGUGUCGCCCCACGCGGAAUGAAGCACAGGCGCCGCGACGCGCCGCGCCGCGCCGCGCACAAUGUCAAGCCGCUCACUUUUCCACAGAAACGAGUCCAAUUCACUGGCUGCUUUUACAACGAGCUCUCAAGUUUGCUCUCGUUUCGUCGGUAGGAGGAGCAACGUGAGUCACAGGGCCUGUGCAUUUCAUUAAGGGAUUACUACAAACUUGUCCCUUCAAAGUUCAGAGCCGCGGCCCAUUGUGUGCUAAUUCUGAUGUUUCAGUUUCAAUACACCUGCAACACGUGAUCUGGACCCGCGUUACGCCAAAUAAGCUAAAUCCCCGCAUAUGCCUCUGCUCCUUAUUUCUCAGCAUGCACGGCCGCACUUCACGUCCCUCAGCUGUCUGUCCCCGUGGCGUGGAUGCGAGGCACGGCCGACUGUAAGGCCAAGUCCGUAUCGCUAGGAUCACCAUUACGUAGCACACCUCAUUAGUGUAAAGGAGGCUUCAAAACGGGCCUCCCGCUCAGAGGCCAUGCUUUAAUUACACCGCACUUUUCUUCUGAAACACACAACCUGCUGAUUCCCCUGGAAUUACAAAUCAUAUGCAUUUCCGUGAAGAUCAGUGAUACACUGCUGAGACGUCCAAAUAUCACAGGCACAGUUCAUUUUGUCUAUGUAUCUGGUUAUUGUUUGAAGAAACGCUGUUUUUGUGCGUAAAAGAACAAUAAAAGCUUUGUUUUAAGACAUUA
Long non-coding RNA from Betta splendens (Siamese fighting fish), 1590 nucleotides. RefSeq lists it as uncharacterized. The transcript has 2 exons. The record is from RefSeq and is a predicted model, not a curated record. Lineage: Eukaryota; Metazoa; Chordata; Actinopteri; Anabantiformes; Osphronemidae.